Molecule: ribosomal RNA, 380 nt
Filed under: uncultured Pseudomonadota bacterium
Lineage: Bacteria; Pseudomonadati; Pseudomonadota
Description: bacterial SSU rRNA
Rfam family: Bacterial small subunit ribosomal RNA
Source: RNAcentral
AACGCGAAGAACCUUACCUACCCUUGACAUGGGGAACCGCUGAGAGGUGGGAGUGCGAAAGAGAACCGGCGCACAGGUGCUGCAUGGCUGGAGCGUGGUGAGAUGUUGGGUUAAGCCGCAACGAGCGCAACCCUUGCCUAGUUACCAGCGGGAUGCCGGGCACUAGGGAGACUGCCGGUGAAACCGGAGGAAGGUGGGGAUGACGAAGCCAAUGGCCCUUACGCAGGGCGACACACGUGCUACAAUGGCCGGUACAGAGCGGCCAACCCGCGAGGGUGAGCCAAGCCAAAAGCCGGUAAGUGGAUUGUAGUGCAACGACUGCAUGAAGGGAAGCUAGUAAGCAGAAGCAUUGCUGCGGUGAAUACGUCCGGGUUGUACAC